AGACGUCUACAUUAGAUACCCGGGUAGUCCAGGGUGUAAACGCUGCAGACUUGGUGUUGGAAGCCCUUUGGGGGCAUUCAGUGCCGGAGAGAAGUUGUUAAGUCUGCUACUUGGGGAGUACGUCCGCAAGGAUGAAACUUAAAGGAAUUGGCGGGGGAGCACCGCAACGGGAGGAGCGUGCGGUUUAAUUGGAUUCAACACCGUAAACUCACCAGGGAAGACUGUUACAUGAAGGCCGAGAUGAAGACUCUGCUAGAUUUUCAG
This 264-nucleotide ribosomal RNA is filed under the name uncultured archaeon. RNAcentral's name for it is "partial 16S ribosomal RNA". It matches the Rfam family "Archaeal small subunit ribosomal RNA", at positions 717 to 982 of the family's 1478-position model. The record is from RNAcentral.